UAGUGGCGAACGGGUGAGUAACACGUGGNCAAUCUGCCCUGCACUCUGGGACAAGCCCUGGAAACGGGGUCUAAUACCGGAUACGAGUUUCACAGGCAUCUGUGAUUCUGGAAAGCUCCGGCGGUGCAGGAUGAGCCCGCGGCCUAUCAGCUUGUUGGUGAGGUAACGGCUCACCAAGGCGACGACGGGUAGCCGGCCUGAGAGGGCGACCGGCCACACUGGGACUGAGACACGGCCCAGACUCCUACGGGAGGCAGCAGUGGGGAAUAUUGCACAAUGGGCGAAAGCCUGAUGCAGCGACGCCGCGUGAGGGAUGACGGCCUUCGGGUUGUAAACCUCUUUCAGCAGGGAAGAAGCGAGAGUGACGGUACCUGCAGAAGAAGCGCCGGCUAACUACGUGCCAGCAGCCGCGGUAAUACGUAGGGCGCAAGCGUUGUCCGGAAUUAUUGGGCGUAAAGAGCUCGUAGGCGGCUUGUCGCGUCGGUUGUGAAAGCCCGGGGCUUAACCCCGGGUCUGCAGUCGAUACGGGCAGGCUAGAGUUCGGUAGGGGAGAUCGGAAUUCCU
Molecule: ribosomal RNA, 564 nt
Filed under: Streptomyces sp. 418G01
Lineage: Bacteria; Bacillati; Actinomycetota; Actinomycetes; Kitasatosporales; Streptomycetaceae
Description: bacterial SSU rRNA
Rfam family: Bacterial small subunit ribosomal RNA
Source: RNAcentral